UACGAAGGGGGCUAGCGUUGUUCGGAAUUACUGGGCGUAAAGCGCACGUAGUCGGCUUUGCAAGUCGGGUGUGAAAUCCCCGGGCUCAACCUGGGAACUGCAUCCGAGACUGCAUUGCUAGAGUAUGGGAGAGGGAAGCGGAAUUUCUGGUGUAGCAGUGAAAUGCGUAGAUAUCAGAAGGAACAUCAGUGGCGAAGGCGGCUUCCUGGACCAAUACUGACGAUCAGGUGCGAAAGCGUGGGGAGCAAACAGG
This 253-nucleotide ribosomal RNA is filed under the name uncultured bacterium. RNAcentral describes it as "partial 16S ribosomal RNA". It matches the Rfam family "Bacterial small subunit ribosomal RNA", at positions 524 to 776 of the family's 1533-position model. The record is from RNAcentral.